GAUGAAGAACGCAGCGAAAUGCGAUAAGUAGUGUGAAUUGCAGAAUUCAGUGAAUCAUCGAAUCUUUGAACGCACAUUGCGCCCCUUGGUAUUCCAUGGGGCAUGCCUGUUCGGGCGUCAUUUGUACCUUCAAGCUCUGCUUGGUGUUGGGUGUUUGUCUCGCCUCUGCGUGUAGACUCGCCUCAAAACAAUUGGCAGCCGGCGUAUUGAUUUCGGAGCGCAGUACAUCUCGCGCUUUGCACUCAUAACGACGACGUCCAAAAGUACAUUUUUACACUCUUGACCUCGGAUCAGGUAGGGAUACCCGCUGAACUUAAGCAUAUCAAUAAGCGGAGGA
Molecule: unclassified non-coding RNA, 337 nt
Filed under: soil metagenome
Description: partial contains 5.8S ribosomal RNA, internal transcribed spacer 2, and large subunit ribosomal RNA
Rfam family: 5.8S ribosomal RNA (bases 1-120)
Source: RNAcentral